AUGGGGGUCUAUGGGGAUUUGCUCUCUUUUGCAACCAGCCUCAAGCGGCCACUCGAUGAACUGCAAUUUUUUGCACUUCCGCAUGGGCUUCAUCGCUCAGCCCCGGAGGUUGCCGCCAUAUAACUGUAGUUAACUUGGAACGUGAAGGCGUGAACUACAUCGCGGACAUAGAGGAAUCCAAGAUGGCUCAUGACUGCAGACGUGCAGCAGAGUAGGUGGAAACCAAUAUGCACCUGUUUACUGCCAGACCUGAGCUGUCUCUCUGCGUAUGGGGAAGGAGGAACAGGCUGAGGUUGUUCUGGAGUACGAAAAGGUCUCAUUGAGCCAAGAAAUGACCCUGGAUGAGUUUCAAACGCAAGAAGUUUUGGAGCCAUUCAAGUUUGAAAUUUUGUAAAGAAACUGUUGACAAACAAAAUGAUCAGGUCUAUUGUGAAUGCUACUCAAAUGAGUGGACAUUAAAGGACAAGAGAACAUU
Molecule: long non-coding RNA, 475 nt
Organism: Mugil cephalus (flathead mullet)
Lineage: Eukaryota; Metazoa; Chordata; Actinopteri; Mugiliformes; Mugilidae
Exons: 2
Source: RefSeq, a predicted model, not a curated record